CGGGGGUGGAGGGUCUCGGGCUUUGUGGCUGCUGCCUUCAGGCCUCCGGAAGUCCCUGCCAGGGCUGCUGCUAGAGGAUGAGAAGUGCAGGUUUGAGGCUCAGGAGAAGGAGCUGCUCUGCCUGCCCAGCUCCCUGCACAAAGCAGGUAUACCAGUGAGCACCAAGUCCAGUUCAGGCAGAUGCAGGGAGCUGGCCAACAGUUGUUGAAUGAACACUUGGGCCCAAGGUAGAAGGAACUCUGGCUCUUUUACAGGAUCAAGAAGAAAGGCCAAGAGAAAACGCCAUCUCCAAGGUAACAGAGAGAAACGUUGAUGUGAGAGAGACACAUCGACUGGCUGCCAC
Molossus molossus (Pallas's mastiff bat) is the source of this 343-nucleotide long non-coding RNA. RefSeq lists it as uncharacterized. The record is from RefSeq and is a predicted model, not a curated record. Lineage: Eukaryota; Metazoa; Chordata; Mammalia; Chiroptera; Molossidae. The transcript is spliced from 3 exons.